This 460-nucleotide ribosomal RNA is filed under the name uncultured bacterium. Its description in RNAcentral is "partial 16S ribosomal RNA". It matches the Rfam family "Bacterial small subunit ribosomal RNA", at positions 338 to 795 of the family's 1533-position model. The record is from RNAcentral.
CCUACGGGUGGCUGCAGUGAGGAAUAUUGGUCAAUGGACGAGAGUCUGAACCAGCCAAGUAGCGUGAAGGAUGACUGCCCUAUGGGUUGUAAACUUCUUUUAUAAAGGAAUAAAACGACGCACGUGUGCCUUUUUGCAUGGACUUUAUGAAUAAGGAUCGGCUAACUCCGUGCCAGCAGCCGCUGUAAUACGGAGGGUGCGAGCGUUACCCGGAUUUAUUGGGCUUAAAGGGAGCGUAGACGGGUUGUUAAGUCAGUUGUGAAAGUUUGCGGCUCAACGGUAAAAUUGCACUUGAUACUGGCAGUCUUGAGUAUAGUUGAGGUAGGCGGAAUUCGUGGUGUAGCAGUGAAAUGCGUAGAUAUCAGGAAGAACAUCGAUUGCGAAGGCAGCUUACUAAACUGUGACUGACAUUGAGGCUCGAAAGUGUGGGUAUCAAACAGGAUUAGAUACCCGUGUAGUC